GUCUACGGCCAGACCACCCUGAACACGCCCGAUCUCGUCUGAUCUCGGAAGCUAAGCAGGGUCGGGCCCGGUUAGUACUUGGCUGGGAGACCUCCUGGGAAUACUGGGUGCUGUAGGCU
RNAcentral lists this ribosomal RNA (119 nucleotides) under Gopherus agassizii (Agassiz's desert tortoise). The record is from RNAcentral. Lineage: Eukaryota; Metazoa; Chordata; Testudines; Testudinidae.